GGGUGCUUUGCCACAAUAUAAUUUAUGUUAAGCUGAACCACUCUCACUGUCACCACAUAAGUCAGAACAUUGCUCACAAAUUGUAUUACUGUUUUUCAGAAAUUAUUGUAAUUUGCUUCAAAUACAAUGAAGUCUUCACAGCUCGUUAUCCUGGUCGUGUUUGGAUUCUUGAUUUCUUUCGAAGGAAGCAAUGCCGCCUGUAAUUUUGAACGCCCAUUCACAUUCCCGGAAGGAUACAAAUGUCGCGUUGGAAUUGGAAGACUGGUAUUUCAAACGGACGGCAACUUUGUCAUAUAUGAUGGCAAUAAUUUAGCAAAAUGGAACUCUGGGACGACUGGUGUCGGUCACCUUGCUGUAUUUCAAGGCGAUGGGAACUUUGUAAUUUAUGAUGUCGCGGGUAAACCUCGUUUCCACACUGGAACGCACGGCUCCGGAUUUCGAAUGGUGUUUCAGGAUGAUCGCAACUUGGUAAUUUAUGACAAAGCUUCAAAACCAGUGUGGUGGUCGGGGAACUUGUAAAUAUGAUGUAUAAAAUUAUUUACAUACAUAUGUACGUGACGCGUGUUUAACUGAGGAUAAUGAGUACAUAUUUAUAUUAAAUUCUUCUAAUCAAAUAUGUAAACUGAUAUCAACUUGACAAUUUACGAUAAAAUAGCUUGUAAUGUAGACUGAAACUAAAAAAAACGCAAUAUUUUUUUUACAUUGGAGUAAGUAUGGAGUAUGAAUUAUACAAUUUAUUCCGUGUAUGUACAUAUUAUUUAUGAAUUUUUUCAAUAAAUUGCUGAUUAAGACCGAAUACAGUGCUCCACAACAC
Folsomia candida is the source of this 814-nucleotide long non-coding RNA. RefSeq lists it as uncharacterized. NCBI's taxonomy places the organism in Eukaryota, Metazoa, Arthropoda, Collembola, Entomobryomorpha, Isotomidae. The transcript is spliced from 2 exons. The record is from RefSeq and is a predicted model, not a curated record.